UACAGAGGGGGCAAGCGUUGUUCGGAAUUACUGGGCGUAAAGGGCGCGUAGGUGGCCUGCUAAGUCGAACGUGAAAUCCCUGGGCUCAACCCAGGAACUGCGUCCGAUACUGGUUGGCUUGAAUCCGGGAGAGGGAUGUGGAAUUCCAGGUGUAGCGGUGAAAUGCGUAGAUAUCGGAAGGAACAUCAGUGGCUAAAGCUACUUCCUGGACCAGUACCGACGUUCAGGCACGAAAGCGUGGGGAGCAAACAGG
This 253-nucleotide ribosomal RNA is filed under the name uncultured bacterium. RNAcentral's name for it is "partial 16S ribosomal RNA". It matches the Rfam family "Bacterial small subunit ribosomal RNA", at positions 524 to 776 of the family's 1533-position model. The record is from RNAcentral.